This 397-nucleotide ribosomal RNA is filed under the name Enterobacter sp. VC40. RNAcentral describes it as "bacterial SSU rRNA". It matches the Rfam family "Bacterial small subunit ribosomal RNA", at positions 958 to 1356 of the family's 1533-position model. Lineage: Bacteria; Pseudomonadati; Pseudomonadota; Gammaproteobacteria; Enterobacterales; Enterobacteriaceae. The record is from RNAcentral.
AACGCGAAGACCCUUACCUGGUCUUGACAUCCACGGAAUUAGGCAGAGAUGCCUUAGUGCCUUCGGGAACCGUGAGACAGGUGCUGCAUGGCUGUCGUCAGCUCGUGUUGUGAAAUGUUGGGUUAAGUCCCGCAACGAGCGCAACCCUUAUCCUUUGUUGCCAGCGGUCCGGCCGGGAACUCAAAGGAGACUGCCAGUGAUAAACUGGAGGAAGGUGGGGAUGACGUCAAGUCAUCAUGGCCCUUACGACCAGGGCUACACACGUGCUACAAUGGCAUAUACAAAGAGAAGCGACCUCGCGAGAGCAAGCGGACCUCAUAAAGUAUGUUGUAGUCCGGAUUGGAGUCUGCAACUCGACUCCAUGAAGUCGGAAUCGUUAGUAAUCGGGAUCAGAUUG